Thalassophryne amazonica is the source of this 143-nucleotide long non-coding RNA. RefSeq lists it as uncharacterized. The transcript is spliced from 5 exons. Lineage: Eukaryota; Metazoa; Chordata; Actinopteri; Batrachoidiformes; Batrachoididae. The record is from RefSeq and is a predicted model, not a curated record.
UGUGUUUCUGUGUCCCCACUGUGUGACCUGGAGGCGGGAUGUUUGCUGACCUUGAGGCUGCUGCUGCAGAUGCAUCCAUCCUGCUGCAUGGAUCCCAACCUCUUGCUGCAUUACUGCAUGGCCACGCCUCUCUGCUGUCAUCA